UACGUAGGGGGCAAGCGUUGUCCGGAUUUAUUGGGCGUAAAGAGCGUGUAGGCGGCCAUACAGGUCCGUUGUGAAAACUGGAGGCUUAACCUCCAGACGUCGAUGGAAACCAUCCAGCUAGAGCCCGGAAGAGGAGAGUGGAAUUCCUGGUGUAGCGGUGAAAUGCGCAGAUAUCAGGAAGAACACCCGUGGCGAAAGCGGCUCUCUGGGACGGUACUGACGCUGAGACGCGAAAGCGUGGGGAGCGAACAGG
RNAcentral lists this ribosomal RNA (253 nucleotides) under uncultured bacterium. RNAcentral's name for it is "partial 16S ribosomal RNA". It matches the Rfam family "Bacterial small subunit ribosomal RNA", at positions 524 to 776 of the family's 1533-position model. The record is from RNAcentral.